Molecule: RNase P RNA, 440 nt
Filed under: Kapaibacterium sp. (SeqCode)
Lineage: Bacteria; Pseudomonadati; Bacteroidota; Eximiradiia; Eximiradiales; Kapaibacteriaceae (SeqCode)
Description: RNase P RNA component class A
Rfam family: Bacterial RNase P class A
About the family: Ribonuclease P (RNase P) is a ubiquitous endoribonuclease, found in archaea, bacteria and eukarya as well as chloroplasts and mitochondria. Its best characterised activity is the generation of mature 5'-ends of tRNAs by cleaving the 5'-leader elements of precursor-tRNAs. Cellular RNase Ps are ribonucleoproteins.
Source: RNAcentral
GUGGAAGAGCGGGUAGCAGGGAAUCAUUGCUAUGAUUUCAGGAAAGUCCGAACUUCGCAGAGCAAUAUGCUUCCUAACUAGAAGAUAGCGUAAGCUAUGGAAAGUGCCACAGAAAAAAUACAGCCAAUCCUGGAGCAAUCCGAAAUGGAGGCAAUGGUGAAAAGGUAGAGUAAGAGCCUACCGCCGAGAUGGUGACAUCGCGGGCAGGGCAAACCCCAAAUGAAGCAAGGCUAAGUAGGUCUGCACCACUUUAUUUAUUGUGGUCGAGUUGCUCGCUCGAUUGUUCGAUUGAACUGUGCAGAUGGGUAAGCCGCUUAAGUGCAAUGGCAACAUUACACUCAGAUAAAUUGCUACCUCGGAGAUAUUCAGCAAUUUUUAUUGAAAAAUAAUCAGGCUGAGUAUUUCUAGGACAAAAUUCGGCUUAUAGCUCUUCCAUCAUC